Molecule: small RNA, 1029 nt
Filed under: Pongo abelii (Sumatran orangutan)
Lineage: Eukaryota; Metazoa; Chordata; Mammalia; Primates; Hominidae
Description: processed transcript
Source: RNAcentral
AUGGCCCCUGCACUGCUCCUGGUCCCUGCUGCCCUCGCCUCUUUCAUCCUGGCCUUUGGCACCGGAGUGGAGUUCGUGCGCUUUACCUCCCUUCGGCCACUUCUUGGAGGGAUCCCGGAGUCUGGUGGUCCGGGUAUACUACCAUGUGCUGGGGCUGGGCGAGCCUCUGGCCCUGAAGUCUCCCCGGGCUCUCAGACUCUUCUCCCACCUGCGCCACCCAGUGUGUGUGGAGCUGCUGACAGUGCUGUGGGUGGUGCCUACCCUGGGCACGGACCGUCUCCUCCUUGCUUUCCUCCUUACCCUCUACCUGGGCCUGGCUCAUGGGCUUGAUCAGCAAGACCUCCGCUACCUCCGGGCCCAGCUACAAAGAAAACUCCACCUGCUCUCUCGGCCCCAGGAUGGGGAGGCAGAGUGAGGAGCUCACUCUGGUUACAAGCCCUAUUCUUCCUCUCCCCCUGAAUUCUAAAUCCUUAACAUCCAGGCCCUGGCUGCUUCAUGCCAGAGGCCCAAAUCCAUGGACUGAAGGAGCUGCCCCUUCUACUACUUGAGACUUUAUUCUCUGGGUCCAGCUCCAUACCCUAAAUUCUGAGUUUCAGCCACUGAACUCCAAGGUCCACUUCUCACCAGCAAGAAAGAGCGGGGUAUGGAAGUCAUCUGUCCCCUCACUGUUUAGGGCAUGACACUCUCCCCCUCAACAGCCUCCUGAGAAGGUAAGGAUCUGCCCUGACCACUCCCCUGGCACUGUUACUUGCCUCUGCACCUCAGGGGUCCCCUUCUCCACCGCUGGCUUCCACUCCAAGAAGCUGGACCAGGGUCUGCAAGUUCAACGGUCACAACUGUCCCUCUAGGCCCCAACCUUGCCUCACCACUCCCAGCCGUAGUCUCUGCACCUCAUUAGGCCCUGCCUCUGGGCUCAGACCCCAACCUAGUCAAGGGGAUUCUCCUACUCUUAACUCGAUGACUUGGGGCUCCCUGCUCUCCCGAGGAAGAUGCUCUGCAGGAAAAUAAAAGUCAGCCUUUUUCUACAUA